CAGUCGAACGGGAAACCUUUUAUUGAAGCUUCGGCAGAUUUAGAUUGUUUCUAGUGGCGGACGGGUGAGUAACGCGUGGGUAACCUGCCUUAUACAGGGGGAUAACAGUCAGAAAUGACUGCUAAUACCGCAUAAGCGCACAGAGCUGCAUGGCUCGGUGUGAAAAACUCCGGUGGUAUAAGAUGGACCCGCGUUGGAUUAGCUGGUUGGUGAGGUAACGGCCCACCAAGGCGACGAUCCAUAGCCGGCCUGAGAGGGUGAACGGCCACAUUGGGACUGAGACACGGCCCAGACUCCUACGGGAGGCAGCAGUGGGGAAUAUUGCACAAUGGGGGAAACCCUGAUGCAGCGACGCCGCGUGAAGGAAGAAGUAUCUCGGUAUGUAAACUUCUAUCAGCAGGGAAGAAUUAGGACGGUACCUGACUAAGAAGCCCCGGCUAACUACGUGCCAGCAGCCGCGGUAAUACGUAGGGGGCAAGCGUUAUCCGGAUUUACUGGGUGUAAAGGGAGCGUAGACGGAUGGACAAGUCUGAUGUGAAAGGCUGGGGCUCAACCCCGGGACUGCAUUGGAAACUGCCCGUCUUGAGUGCCGGAGAGGUAAGCGGAAUUCCUAGUGUAGCGGUGAAAUGCGUAGAUAUUAGGAGGAACACCAGUGGCGAAGGCGGCUUACUGGACGGUAACUGACGUUGAGGCUCGAAAGCGUG
RNAcentral lists this ribosomal RNA (704 nucleotides) under uncultured bacterium. Its description in RNAcentral is "bacterial SSU rRNA". It matches the Rfam family "Bacterial small subunit ribosomal RNA", at positions 59 to 763 of the family's 1533-position model. The record is from RNAcentral.